UGAGAGGGAGACAUAAAUAUUGAAUGUACCAAAUUUCACGGCAGUUUAUUCAAAAUUACGGCAAUCCAUAAUAAACAUCGCACUCUAAACUACAAAUGUCAACAUGACAAUGUCAUUUUUAGCGUGAUUUGACACAUCAAACUGAAUAAAAAUAUGUUUUUCAAGUAAAAAACUUAAUUUUUUUUACCAAAUCCCCACAGCAUUGUUGUGUUUCUGUGUUAAGUAGCAACUGAAGUUAUUAAAGUAAGAAAAUCACAUUACAUCAUCCCUCUUUGACAGUGUCAACAUGAUUUAUUUUAAAUAUAUUAAUAGGUUAAUAGGUAAUAGUUUUGGAAAAUGCUCAGCCGGCUGGGGCAUCUUGUCAGAGGUUUGUUUGAUUGACAUAAGCUGGUUAUGCCAGUUACCAGUGUUACAUCGUACAGACAGAAACAAAGUAAACAAACCUGUAGCUACAAGUCAUGGACAGACAGCGUGUUGCCAACAGGGAUUUUGAAGAGCAAUGAAAAAAAACAGCAUCUAACAGUUCCAAAUUGACAUUUUCAGGUAUAUUUACAUUUUAAUGUGCUGCAGCUGAGCAUCUAAUUAGCUAUCUCACUGCUAACUGACAUUAGCGGUGCACUUUUCCUUGUUGAAUGUUUGUUUGAUGCUUGUUCAACAAGCUAAGCUGCAGGACAAGACAUAUGUUCAUUUUUGUAAGUUACAUACGAAGGACACUUUAGCAGGAAAGCUAAUGUGGGUUGUUGUCCAGAGUCCUGUGUUGUGUAGCAGGAUGCAAUCAGGCUCAGUGUGACGUCAGCUCUGAUAUGAUGAUAGAAACCCUUUUGGUUGUAGAUUUUCUUCUCAAAAGAGAACACAGGACAAGUGAUUUACAGAGCAGAUAUGUAUACUGUAGUAGACAAAAAAAGAGUUGGAGUUUAAAAUCAACAGGAGCAUUGUGGGAAAUGUAGGACAACAUAGAAGUUGAUAUAGUUUGAGUGAAAAUUGAUACAAAGAAAAUUGGCAUAACAACAUGGUUCUUAAAGGACAACAGUGUCUUCCUAAAAUACUUGCUUGCUGUAUGUUAGAACAUGAAAAAUUGUCCAGAUAUGGAGUCUGAGUGUGUGAAAUGUUUUUAAAUGCACAGGAUGGAGCGAAGGGACAGACAGCUGCUGAGUGCCGGGAGCAGAGCUGGAGCUUCUGGACCAAUAGCAGAGUUUAUGUUUUCAACUUUGAGCAGCAGCAACAGUGAGCGCUCAGUCUGUUUCCGUGGCUACUAGCUAGGCAGGCUGGGGGGGGCGGGUUAUAUCGGUUUAUAUGUAGCAAACAUCAUCAUGCAGAAACCUACAUCAGGUCACAUGGGGAAAAAGAUUUUAGAAGGGCUUGGGAAAAUCAAAAAACAAACAAACAGACAAACCAAAAAAAAAAAUAAUAAUGAAAAUAACUACUGGACAGAACAAACAUCACAGACGGAUAUAUAACGGUGUCAGAAUAUCUGCUGCAACCUGAAAAUUGCCACAUUUAUGUGUUAAUAAACAGCUCAUAUUAAGCCCAGAGGACAUGAACCCACUCAAGAAAGAAAUGAUUUCCAUUAGCACAUAAAGCUGCUGGAGAUGGAACUGCUUCACCACAUGAAAUUGUUGUCAUAUUGCAGGCUCAUCGGCACGACUACUUUAAUAAAAACACCUUUUUUUGUGGAUAUGUAAAUUCUCUGUAGCACGGCCGACUCUGUCGAGGUGAGCUUAACUCGAGGAUUUUAAACGCCUUCUGUGAGAUAAAGGAAUUUUUAGCUGAGGGAUCUGAGUGAAGGGUUGGCAACUGUCUUCACUGGACGGCAUUCAAGUUGUGUUUAAUCUGCCCGUGUGAACUCCACCGCCGUGGCCAUCUGCUCACUGACACAAAAGCAGUGCAUCAAUACAAUUCUGUGAAUUUUCUGUGACAUUUCUCACAUCAAUACCAGUUAUUUCAGGCUGAUACGGUAUUUUGACUAUGACUGACAACAGUGCUAGCUUGUAAAAGCUCAGUUUGAUGAUCAGUACUUCAAGUGAUAACAGGAACAUAAUAUUUUUUAUAUGUCAUCAAGUCAACAGGACUAAACCUACUGAGAGUAACAAGAGUUUGCUGAGGGAGGAAAGCAACAUUAAGGAGUAACUUAACCCCUGAAAAUAUUGUUUUUUGUUGACUUCCAGGUUCAGUGCCUCACCUUGCUGCAGUGAUGUACAGGAGCACUUCCAGGACACGAUUCCUCCUCUCUGUCUGCUUACUGGAGACCAUCAAUCUGAAGCUUCUCCCCGUUGUCCUUCUUUCAUCAUUCUAGUUUUUUUUUUGUGUCUUCCAAUGAGAGCUUUCAGGCCUGACCUUUGUGCCCUUGGAAAGGACCGCUGCGGGUAACAAAGACCGCCAACCAAUCAGGCAUCGGUCUGAGUGGCCUUGGUGAUUGAAAUUAACACGAGGCUCUUACACAAGAAAGAAAUAUUUGAGGCAGCAAAGAAGCCAAAAGGAGGAAGAGACAAAGCAACUAAAUGAAAGGUUUGAGGUGUCAGUAUGAUUCAAAUAAUGUGUUUGUGUUUGGAUUAUUGAUUA
Long non-coding RNA from Thunnus maccoyii (southern bluefin tuna), 2559 nucleotides. RefSeq lists it as uncharacterized. Lineage: Eukaryota; Metazoa; Chordata; Actinopteri; Scombriformes; Scombridae. The record is from RefSeq and is a predicted model, not a curated record. The transcript is spliced from 3 exons.